Molecule: long non-coding RNA, 723 nt
Organism: Scylla paramamosain (green mud crab)
Lineage: Eukaryota; Metazoa; Arthropoda; Malacostraca; Decapoda; Portunidae
Exons: 3
Source: RefSeq, a predicted model, not a curated record
AUAUAAACACAUACACACGCACAACGUUCACUAGAGGUGCCUCACACAGCAAGCUACCAGCAGUCAAGUGUCCUUCCGCCACUGAGUGACAGCCCAGCACACCUCUCGCCUCUCAACACACCACAAGAUGCUUGGCUCUUGGUUAAAGGUACUAAGGGUGCUACAGUGGGAGGGAGUGACGGUUGGCUCAGCCAGCGCCACCCACAAGCAUCUCCAAUGAUCGGUACAUGUCAUACACAUUCUGGGAUUCCCCUUCAGGAGAAUGUGCACCUCCACCACUCCACCAAUGACGACCACGCGCUCCUCUACACGACCACCACCACCACCACCACCACCACCACCACCACGGACGACCCCUGCCCUUCUCUUUCCUUUCCAUCGUUCCUUUCUUUCCCUUAAUAACACUCUUGGAGAUUAGAAGUAUUGGCAUUAGAUUUAUAACUUUGAUUUAAUUAGUGAAUUCUCUCUCUCUCUCUCUCUCUCUCUCUCUCUCUCUCUCUCUCUCUCUCUCUCUCUCUCUCUCUCUCUCUCUCUCUCUCUCUCUCUCUCUCUCUCUCUCUCUCUCUCUCUCUGUAUGUGUGACUUCUUGGAAUUAAACUUGUAACUGCAGAUUUGUUUUAAUUUCUCACCUAAAAACAGGAGGAGGAGGAGAAAGAAGAGGAGGAGGAGGAGGUUUUUACUGUUGCUAUUGUUUUCUAUCAGUUAAUAUAAACUUGAUUACAA